RNAcentral lists this long non-coding RNA (6479 nucleotides) under Homo sapiens (human). RNAcentral describes it as "HSALNT0401011". The record is from RNAcentral. Lineage: Eukaryota; Metazoa; Chordata; Mammalia; Primates; Hominidae.
AUAUUGCUGUGUUGCCCCUACUGGACAGCAGUGGCUCCAUCAUAGCUUAUUGUAACCUCAAGCUCCUGGCCUCAAGUGAUCCUCCUGCCUCAGCCUCCUGAGUAGCUGGGACUACAGGCACACACCACCAAUUUUUGUAUUUUUAGUAGAGACGGGCUUUCGCCACGUUGGCCAGGCUGGUCUCAAACUCCUAACCUCAGGUGAUCUGCCUGCCUUGGCCUCCCAAAGUGCUGGAAUUAUAGGUGUGACCCACUGCACCAGACCAAGCCUUUAUCAGCUGUGCAGGUCUAAGACAUCCUAUGGGGAAGAGCCAUGUGUUCUUGGGGCUGGAAAGCCAGGAUACAGGGCCCAGACCACUGAGGCCAGAUCUCACCCAGACUUUAAUGAAAUCCACAAGGUCUUCCGAGAGCACCUACUAUGUACCUGGCCCUAUGCCUCCCACCUCCCUGUCCCAGGAGUUGCCUCAGUAGUCAAGAGGGAGACAGGGGUGCCUCAGAAUAGAUGUAUAUACCAGUCAGUGCAGGGAGCAUUCUUGGGAACUGACACAAAGAGGUGUUUGGCCACGGGGAGUCAGAUCUGGAUUGCAGUGCUUCUCUGGAGCCCAGAGACCCAAGCCCUGCCCUGCAGACUCACCUAGAGUGCUGAGGUUAUAAGGACAGCUCUGAUCCUGGGUUCGACUCCUGAAUCCGCCACUACCUAGCUGUGAGACCAUGGGCAAGUCACUUAACCUCUUUACAUUCCAGGGUCCUCACCUAUAAACUAAACAUAAAACCAACCCAUGCUCAUGGAGAUAGUGAGAGGCUUGUCCAUGAUGUUGUGACACAGGGAAAGGAAGCACUUAGCUUAGAACCUAGCAGAGAAUAAGCAUUUGGUAAAUGUUAGUGUUGAUAUCUUUCCCGAUUCCAGCUCUCAACAGAAUUUGAAGAGAACAAAAAUGUCUAGAUUGGGCUUUUAGGCUGGAGGCCAUGGACUCACCAUGGGUGGGCUUAGGGAUAUGAAACCUUGUGCAAUAUUGUGUGUGUGUUUCUAGAAGAAGGAUCUGCAGCCUCACCAGAUGUCCACGGGGGCUGUGACCUAGAAAAAUCUUUGGUCGCUGAGCUAGGUCAGGGCUGGCAGAACCACUCAGUCUUAGCUCAGGCUGCCAUGAUAAAGUGACAAAGCCUGAGUGGCUUCAGCAACAGAAACACAUCUUCUAACAGUUCUGGAGGCUGGAAGUCCCAGAUCAUGGUCCAGCAGGAUUGGUUUCUGGGGAGGGCUUGCUUCCUAGCUUGUAGACAGCUGCCUUCUCCUUGUGUCCUCAUGUGGCAGAGAGAGAGAGAGAAUGAGAGUGAAAGAGAGACACAGAGAGAGAGAGAGUGAAGAGAGAGAGAAAUCAAGAGAGAGGACACUCUAGUGUCUCUUCUUAUAAGGACACUGAUCCUAUCAGAUUGGCAUCCCACCAUUUUUACCUCAUUUAACUUUAAUCACUUCUAUAGAGGCAUCUCCAAAUACAGUCACAUUGAGGGGGAGGGCUUCAACAUAUGGAUUUGGGGGUCAUAAUUCAGUCCAUAGCAGUCAGUGAGAUAGAUUAUUCUAGAUCUCGGUGGAGGCAGGUUUUGACCAGCAAAGGCUGACCCUUGAGGCUUCUAACUAAAGCAAGGACCACCUGCAGCUCCCCUGGCCCCAGUGAUCAUCACUCCUCCCAACCGUCCUCUUCCCUGCUUAUGCCCAUCCAAUUAUCCACUUCUCCAAGUCCAUUCCUGCAGGCCCUGCCUGCAGCCUCCUAAGAUGACAGUGGGCUAGUCUCAGGAUUGUGAGAAUUUAAGGAAACAAUCCUGAGAGUGUACUUUCAGCAGUGCCUGGCACACAGAGAGCACUCAGUAAAGGCGAGCUCUGCACCUAGAGAGUGUAGGAGGUCAGACACACAGCCCGUUUGCACUGCUGGAGCCCAGGAUCCCUGUCCCAGGGUUUGCUGGAAUCAGAGCCCCCAACACAGCUGUCUCUCCCAGUUAUAACCAGUGACCCACAGAUUCCUAGAGACCUAGAAUCUGCUGGUAGUUUCUGAGUGUUCUUGCAAGGAAUCCCUGAAUCUGGAUGUGCAUCCCAAGGCUUAGAUUAACAAAAAUCACAUCUCACACACCUAUGUAGGACUGACUUUCAAUUACAUAAAAGAUGAUGUGAGCACAAAAGACAAAUCCAUUCAGAAGAGCUACAGUAUUCAUAAUUCAGACCUGGAUUUUGGCUGUUGUGUGUUUCUUCAGAGGGGGGAAAUGGCUUUGUAACAUUGACUUAAUUCAUCUCCAUGAAUGAGCAUCUAAUGUGUGCUGGGAACACAGUGGGGAAUACGGCUGACAUGCCCCUGCUUCCCAGCAUAACUGAAGCUGUGUUCUCAGGAAAGGGCAGGAACCAUUGGUCUAACCCACCAAGUCAGGUCCAGGGCCCCUCCUUCAGUUCUAGGUAGCUUCUGGUUUUAAAGGCUGCUGAGGGCAAGACCUGGGUCCUCAUGUCUCCCGCUCUCUGACCCCUUCUCAGAGCUGUCAGCCCAGAAAGCAUGAACCUUGAACCCCAGAAGUCAUGAAAUGCAGCCUCCCAUACCCUGAGGCAGGACUUCUCUAGACCUUGUCUCUGAUAGGACAUCCAGCCUCUGCCUGGACACCUCUGGAGAUGGGAUGCUCAUUAUGUGUGCAAGGAAAACUGCUACUACAUACACAGUCAUGAAUGUAUUUUAAUAUGUCUUACCCUGAGCUCACAGGGGCAGCACCUACAUGGUCAAUGGCCCCACCUGAUUUGUCCCAUUGAAGGGAGAAGAAUCAGGGUCUUUGUUCCAUGCAUAGGCUCCCACCUGGCUCCUCAGCCUUGCUGCGCCUCUCCUCCCUUGUGCCCAGGGACACAGCAUCAGGAAAUUGGGUUUUGAUUUGGGGAAAGGUGAACAUGGCUCCCUCCAGCUAUAGGAAAACCUCACCAAUGUCCCAGCCCCAGGAUACUUGGGGGUGGGAGUGGUUUAUGAAGCCAGUGCCUGUCCCCUCAGCAGGAAAAGACUUGCAAGGCUGACUUUGCUCUGGAAAAGGAGGGCUCUGAGCUACAGGGGAGGGGGAGGGGGCUAUCUGUGAUCAUUCAGCCCCGAAAUGAUGCUCAUGAUGUUGGCUUUCCAGGCCAUUAAUUCAAGGGCUCCAUGCCUCCCCUUCCCCCAUGGUGCUGUCUGCUCUGGGAGAUAAGCCCAGUUCUAUUUAACCCUAUUUAUUCCCCCAAAGUGACUCCCAUCUCUGUUAGCCAGGCAUUUAACCCCCUGGGUACUGAAGGCAUCAAAGGCAGAGAGAUUGAGCUCAUGUGUCAGGAAGGGGUGCGUGCAUUUCACCUGGGCCCUGGCUUCAGGGAAUCCGAUCCAGGUCCUUCCUAAUCCAAACUCCUCAUCUGGAAGUCCUUGCUUCACAAGGCUUGGUGGAAGUCCUGAGAGAAGGUAGGAACCUGUGUGGCCCUGGCAGGAGAGACCCUCUGACACCCCCAGGUUGGGUAGCGACAGCUCCUGCUCUCUCCCCACAUACCCUCCCAGUCCCUAGUUUCUUAGUCACAAGAUCUGGGUUCUGGCAUCAGCAAAAGAGAAAGGCUGUGGCAUCUCUGCCUCUUUUGUGUCCCACUGGCUGGUGGCUGCAUUCAGCAAGCCCUCUUCCAUCUCCAUCUCCCUGCUUGGUCCUUUUUACGUCCCCUGCCCCUUUCUGCCCUUUGUUCUCUCCUCUUUUCCCCUUCAGUGAUCACACAAGAGUAGUCCUGACUACUCGUCUCGGUGUGUGUGUGUGUGUGUGUGUGUGUGUGUGUGUGAUUUCUUGUGUCUGGGGGCUUGUCAGUGUGUGUGUGUGUUUACCUGUUCUUGCACUGCUGUGUGUCUGAGCCUGUUAUCCAGGUGCCUCUGCCCAUGCAGAGGGACCCACCAGUGUCUGUCCUGAUUUCUUUGUGUGGCAGGCAGUCUUAGUACAAAUCUUGCAUGUGUCUGUCUGUGUGCUGGCCUGUUCAUGACCUGUGUGUUGCUCUGUCAAUGUAUUAGAAUGCUCUGUUCAAUCUACUAGAAUCUCUAUGUUGUCCUCAUGUUUUUGUACAUCUAUCCAUCGGCUUGUCAUGCUCUGUGUGAAUGUAUGUGUGUGUUGUGCUUCAACUCAGGGGACCAGUCUACUGCAAAAUCCUCUCCUAGGGAACCCUUCCAGAGGAGCUAUUUGGGAGAAUUUGGAGGUUGAUGGCUUCGCCAGGGCAGAGCCCAGCUCACUACCAGCAAGGGAAGUCAUCCUGUUGGUCUCCUGGGCUCUUCCCUCUCCCUGCUCCUGACCUCCCUCCCCUUCUCUCCAGGUCAGCUUGCGACUGUGAGGAGCAGGGACAGAGAGCUUCAAAGACAGAAGAGCGUACAUUCCAACUCACUCAACCCCCAGAUCCAAUCGCAGGCUUUUUCUUGUGCACUCCCAUUUCCACCCCCAGCCCCACAACGAGAACUGGCUGUUGAGUAUAGUCACUACAACAAUCACAAAAUAAUUGCUAUCACGUAUUGGGCAUGCAGCACCUGUUAAGCAUUUCAUAUAUGAGAUCUCAUUGAAUUUUCUCAAUAAUUCUAUGAGGCCGUUAUUCUUAUUUUCACAUUUUAGAGAUGAGGAAAUGGAAGCUAGGAGAAGUCAAGGAAGUAGUCAAUGUCAUAGAAUUAGUAUGUGAUGGGGUAGAAUUAUUCAAUAAAGUGUGGGUUGUUUGAGAGUUUGCCACACCUGCCUUCAGCCUGGGAAGAGGCAUUUAUUACAAACAGCAGGAAAGGAGGGAAAUAUGGGAAUUCCUUUCCCAACUGCUGGCAUCUAAUUAUAGCCAGCGGGACUAGAAUCUGAUUUUGAAUUUCAUCUCUUUGGACAAUGAGGUGGCCAAAUACCAAACGACAACCAGGGAGAAAUGAUGUAAGGACAAGACGAGGUAGUGCAGGGCAAGGCAUGCUGGAAAGAGCCUUAGGAUUCCUGGGGGUUCUAGCCUGGCUUUAACCUGGAUUCUGUGUGACCUUGGGCAGGACACUUCCUUGCUCAGGCCUGAGUUUUCUUGUCUGUAAAACUAGGAUAAAUGUGAGGUUCUGUUGGGAUGUUUGGGGGAGGUUUAAACAUUGCAGAAAGGAAAAUUGGACUCAGGGCUUUCUAAGUUCCCUCCUAGACCCAAGAAUUGGAGUGGGGAGUAUAGGAAGAGACUAUGCUUGUGUCAUCUUGACAAUUCCUGGAAUAGCCAGAACAGAAUCACGUGCACAGGAAGGGCUGUGAAAAGGUUCACUGAAUGAAGGAAUAAAUGACCCCAUCUCUCACUGAUGAAAAAACGUCACAGCCCACUUUAGACUCACUUGUCAGAGAAGGCAUCAGUGGCCAUCCUAAGGUCUGGGUGUAAUGCUGUGGAGGAGGCACUGGGGAAUCCUACAAAGACCCAGCCUCUGCCCAGAUCAUCUCCUGUGGGCCAAAGAAUUUCACCAGAAACAGAAGGGGAGAGGAUGGCAAUUAGGAUGUGGAGAUCUUUGUCUAUAGGAAUCUGUAGGGAAAAUUCUCUCUCUCUGUCUUUCCUGUAUCUGAGAAUUGGGGUGGGCCGAGGCUCUCCGUAUAGGGCAAAUUUCGGAUGGGGGAUCGCUUCUAUUUAGAAGCCUCCUUGGAGGAGAGGAUCUCUGUGUUUGGAGGAAGAAUCUCUUUCCUGUCUUUGUUCUGGGUCCUGUCAUGACUUGGAGUGUCUGUAUUUGGAGGACGGUUCUAUAGAGGGGUCUUUUUUUGUUUUGUUUUUUGUUUUGCUUUGUUUUGUUUUGUUUUUUGGUCUUAGUAGCUGGAGGCUAAGAAGAGGAUUUCUGUCUUGGUUUCCACCAGGCAGGAGCUAGGGGCUUUCCAGAGCUUCUGGGGAAAUUAAGGGGGUACCUGGGGAGAGGUUAGGAGCAUCUCUGUCCAAUGUGGUGGAGGUUCCCUAUCUGGAGAGAAGCCUCCUCCGGGAGACUGGGAGGGGCUUGGGAUGGGAGGAGGUGGCAGGAGGCGGGAGGGUGUAGAGAGGGAAGCCUGUCUUGUCCUGGCAGCUCCAACUCUCUGGCCAAAGCCCUCGGGCCGCCCUACUUGUGCGCUGACGUGAGCUAAUCUAGAAAUACUGCAGAGAAAGAGUGGCUGGGGUUCCCAGGGAGAAAGGGCCUCGAGAGAGGGGAGAUGGGGAGCUGCUUCCUUUUUUGUUUCCUUCGGUUUUUCCGUCCGCCCCCGCCCCCACUUCCAGUCACAGCCGCUACUUCUCCAUUCAGGCUGGGACUGCCAGGUGGAGCCCUGCGGUUUACUGCUCAGGAGGAGCCCGGCCAGGACAUCAGCUGGGGACUUACGCAGGGACCCAUUCAGAGCAGCGGACCCUCACGGAGACUACUACAAAGGGACUAACACAGGCACGAACGCAGGCAACCCCAUUCGGGAACACAUACGUAAUCCAACACACUAGCUCUGGCACACACACUGGAAUGCGCGCAAAACCACACAGACACAGAACAC